UCGAACGGUARCASRRRKKAGCUUGCUMMUUKGSUGACGAGUGGCGGACGGGUGAGUAAUGCUUGGGAAUCUGGCUUAUGGAGGGGGAUAACUACGGGAAACUGUAGCUAAUACCGCGUAAUAUCUUCGGAUUAAAGUGUGGGACCGCAAGGCCACAUGCCAUAAGAUGAGCCCAAGUGGGAUUAGGUAGUUGGUGGGGUAAAGGCCUACCAAGCCGACGAUCUCUAGCUGGUCUGAGAGGAUGACCAGCCACACUGGAACUGAGACACGGUCCAGACUCCUACGGGAGGCAGCAGUGGGGAAUAUUGCACAAUGGGGGGAACCCUGAUGCAGCCAUGCCGCGUGAAUGAAGAAGGCCUUCGGGUUGUAAAGUUCUUUCGGUAGCGAGGAAGGUAUCAAAUUUAAUAGAUUUGGUAAUUGACGUUAACUACAGAA
Molecule: ribosomal RNA, 435 nt
Filed under: Actinobacillus arthritidis
Lineage: Bacteria; Pseudomonadati; Pseudomonadota; Gammaproteobacteria; Pasteurellales; Pasteurellaceae
Description: partial 16S ribosomal RNA
Rfam family: Bacterial small subunit ribosomal RNA
Source: RNAcentral